Molecule: ribosomal RNA, 1441 nt
Filed under: metagenome
Description: bacterial SSU rRNA
Rfam family: Bacterial small subunit ribosomal RNA
Source: RNAcentral
AGAGUUUGAUCCUGGCUCAGGAUGAACGCUGGCGGCGUGCUUAACACAUGCAAGUCGAACGAUCCUUCGGGAUAGUGGCGGACGGGUGAGUAACGCGUGGGAAUCUGCCCUCAGGAGGGGGAUAACGGCUGGAAACGGCCGCUAAUACCCCAUAUGCCGAGAGGUGAAAUGAAUUUCGCCUGAGGAUGAGCCCGCGUCUGAUUAGCUAGUUGGUGGGGUAAAGGCCUACCAAGGCAACGAUCAGUAGCUGGUCUGAGAGGAUGAUCAGCCACACUGGGACUGAGACACGGCCCAGACUCCUACGGGAGGCAGCAGUGGGGAAUUUUCCGCAAUGGGCGAAAGCCUGACGGAGCAACGCCGCGUGAGGGAUGAAGGCCUCUGGGCUGUAAACCUCUUUUCUCAAGGAAGAAGACCUGACGGUACUUGAGGAAUAAGCCACGGCUAAUUCCGUGCCAGCAGCCGCGGUAAUACGGGAGUGGCAAGCGUUAUCCGGAAUUAUUGGGCGUAAAGCGUCCGCAGGCGGCCUUGUAAGUCUGUUGUUAAAGCGUGGAGCUCAACUCCAUUUAAGCAAUGGAAACUACAAGGCUGGAGUGUGGUAGGGGCAGAGGGAAUUCCCGGUGUAGCGGUGAAAUGCGUAGAUAUCGGGAAGAACACCAGUGGCGAAGGCGCUCUGCUGGGCCAUAACUGACGCUCAUGGACGAAAGCCAGGGGAGCGAAAGGGAUUAGAUACCCCUGUAGUCCUGGCCGUAAACGAUGAACACUAGGUGUCGGGGGAAUCGACCCCCUCGGUGUCGUAGCCAACGCGUUAAGUGUUCCGCCUGGGGAGUACGCACGCAAGUGUGAAACUCAAAGGAAUUGACGGGGGCCCGCACAAGCGGUGGAGUAUGUGGUUUAAUUCGAUGCAACGCGAAGAACCUUACCAGGGUUUGACAUCCUGCGAACCCCUGAGAAAUCGGGGGGUGCCUUCGGGAGCGCAGAGACAGGUGGUGCAUGGCUGUCGUCAGCUCGUGUCGUGAGAUGUUGGGUUAAGUCCCGCAACGAGCGCAACCCACGUCUUUAGUUGCCAGCAUUCAGUUGGGCACUCUAGAGAGACCGCCGGUGAUAAACCGGAGGAAGGUGUGGAUGACGUCAAGUCAUCAUGCCCCUUACAUCCUGGGCUACACACGUACUACAAUGCUACGGACAAAGGGCAGCAAGCUCGCGAGAGUUAGCAAAUCCCAUAAACCGUGGCUCAGUUCAGAUCGUAGGCUGCAACUCGCCUACGUGAAGGAGGAAUCGCUAGUAAUCGCAGGUCAGCAUACUGCGGUGAAUACGUUCCCGGGCCUUGUACACCGCCCGUCACACCAUGGAAGUUGGCCAUGCCCGAAGUCGUUACUCCAACCCUUGUGGAGGAGGACGCCGAAGGUGGGGCUGAUGACUGGGGUGAAGUCGGAACAAGGUA